This 254-nucleotide ribosomal RNA is filed under the name uncultured bacterium. RNAcentral's name for it is "partial 16S ribosomal RNA". It matches the Rfam family "Bacterial small subunit ribosomal RNA", at positions 524 to 776 of the family's 1533-position model. The record is from RNAcentral.
UACGGGGGGAGCAAGCGUUGUUCGGAUUUACUGGGCGUAAAGGGCGCGUAGGCGGUCAGCACAAGUCAGUUGUGAAAUCUCCGAGCUUAACUCGGAAAGGUCAACUGAUACUGUGCGACUAGAGUGCGGAAGGGGCAACUGGAAUUCUUGGUGUAGCGGUGAAAUGCGUAGAUAUCAGGAGGAACACCGGUGGCGAAGGCGGGUCUCUGGGCAACAACUGACGCUGAGGAGCGAAAGCGUGGGGAGCGAACAGG